Molecule: ribosomal RNA, 584 nt
Filed under: uncultured bacterium
Lineage: Bacteria
Description: partial 16S ribosomal RNA
Rfam family: Bacterial small subunit ribosomal RNA
Source: RNAcentral
UGGGGAAUUUUGGACAAUGGGCGAAGCCUGAUCCAGCAAUGCCGCGUGUGUGAAGAAGGCCUUCGGGUUGUAAAGCACUUUUGUCCGGAAAGAAAUCCUUGGCUCUAAUACAGUCGGGGGAUGACGGUACCGGAAGAAUAAGCACCGGCUAACUACGUGCCAGCAGCCGCGGUAAUACGUAGGGUGCAAGCGUUAAUCGGAAUUACUGGGCGUAAAGCGUGCGUAGGCGGUUUGCUAAGACCGAUGUGAAAUCCCCGGGCUCAACCUGGGAACUGCAUUGGUGACUGGCAGGCUAGAGUAUGGCAGAGGGGGGUAGAAUUCCACGUGUAGCAGUGAAAUGCGUAGAGAUGUGGAGGAAUACCGAUGGCGAAGGCAGCCCCCUGGGCCAAUACUGACGCUCAUGCACGAAAGCGUGGGGAGCAAACAGGAUUAGAUACCCUGGUAGUCCACGCCCUAAACGAUGUCAACUAGUUGUUGGGGAUUCAUUUCCUUAGUAACGUAGCUAACGCGUGAAGUUGACCGCCUGGGGAGUACGGUCGCAAGAUUAAAACUCAAAUGAAUUGACGGGGUCAUAGCUGUUUCCU